ACACUCAAAUCUCAGGAAGGUAUUUUUGUUUGUAAGCUAAAUUUCAGGACCUGGUAUAUCAUACCUGAUAUAUAUACAGAGAGCAAUCUAACACAGCAAUCUCUCUUAAAAAAAAAAAAAAAAAAAAAUUAUUUUAACCCCAUCCAUGUUUAGUAAUCAAGGCCGGCUGUGAUUGGUCCAUCCUGAUCAGCGCUGAGAAAAGUAACACGGCACUCUGGCGCUUUUGGUUAAUCAGGAGUGAAUUUGCAACUGAAUAAAAACACUAUGCCAUUAAUGACAAAACAGUUUAAUUUUUCUGUCCUUAUACGCUUAGAAAAUAUAUAUUUUUAAUUUAAUACAUUUAAGAAAUACGCAAAUAAAUUUCCAAAAAUUCAAAUAUUAAAAAAAUGAUUAAUUCAGCAGUCAUCGACGGCUGUGAUUGGUCCAUUCUGAUCAGCGCUGAGAAAAGUAACACGUAGUACGCCACGCACGGCGCUUAGCGCUCUUGCUUAAUCAGAAAACAAUAAUUGCAGCUAAGCAAAAAAACUGUAAUUGUGUAUAUAUAUUGAUUUAAACCGCGAGGUGAACAUUACAAAACUGAAACAUUUUUAUCUAGAUAUUUGCAACAAGUUUGUGUCGCUAAGCCCCGCCCAUCUGUUUCUGUGGUUUAGGAGUUGAGACUGAAGUCGGUCAGUCAGCGCUGCUGCAUAUGACCUGAUCAUACCGAGCUCUCCGAGGAAAAUAAUACACGCAUAAAUGUCUGCGAGGUGCGAAUGAACUGCAACCUCCUCAAAUAACGAGGAACUCAGUCGGGAUCCAUCUGUCUUGAAUUGGAGGACAAAUCCCAGACCUGGAUGUGAGGGUCAGAUUUCAGUGAGCGCGUUUUAUCAGCUGUGGGAACAAAAGCUCUCCAGAUGGACUUUGACUCGUGUUUUGUAUCAAAUGGACGUUUACAUGCCAGCACACUUCAUCUGUGUACAGUGCACUGAGGAAUAAUGUGGAUUUAAUCCUGCGGGACUUCACUGGCUCUGAUCUCUGAUCCUGAUGCUCUUAUUAAAGACUCUCCACUCCGUUACAAUCAAAUUAGUUCAAGAUUAAUGAAGACGUUUGA
Molecule: long non-coding RNA, 1090 nt
Organism: Cyprinus carpio (common carp)
Lineage: Eukaryota; Metazoa; Chordata; Actinopteri; Cypriniformes; Cyprinidae
Source: Ensembl